Molecule: ribosomal RNA, 497 nt
Filed under: uncultured bacterium
Lineage: Bacteria
Description: partial 16S ribosomal RNA
Rfam family: Bacterial small subunit ribosomal RNA
Source: RNAcentral
GAUGAACGCUGGCGGCGUGCCUAAUACAUGCAAGUCGAGCGAACAGACGAGGAGCUUGCUCCUCUGACGUUAGCGGCGGACGGGUGAGUAACACGUGGAUAACCUACCUAUAAGACUGGGAUAACUUCGGGAAACCGGAGCUAAUACCGGAUAAUAUAUUGAACCGCAUGGUUCAAUAGUGAAAGACGGUUUUGCUGUCACUUAUAGAUGGAUCCGCGCCGCAUUAGCUAGUUGGUAAGGUAACGGCUUACCAAGGCAACGAUGCGUAGCCGACCGGAGAGGGUGAUCGGCCACACUGGAACUGAGACACGGUCCAGACUCCUACGGGAGGCAGCAGUAGGGAAUCUUCCGCAAAGGGCGAAAGCCUGACGGAGCAACGCCGCGUGAGUGAUGAAGGUCUUCGGAUCGUAAAACUCUGUUAUUAGGGAAGAACAAAUGUGUAAGUAACUAUGCACGUCUUGACGGUACCUAAUCAGAAAGCCACGGCUAACUACGUG